CACGCCCUAAACGAUGUCAACUAGUUGUCGGGUCUUCAUUGACUUGGUAACGUAGCUAACGCGUGAAGUUGACCGCCUGGGGAGUNACGCGAAAAACCUUCCCUACCCUUGACAUGUAUGGAAGUCCGCUGAGAGGUGGACGUGCCCGAAAGGGAGCCAUAACACAGGUGC
This 171-nucleotide ribosomal RNA is filed under the name uncultured bacterium. RNAcentral's name for it is "partial 16S ribosomal RNA". The record is from RNAcentral.